This 253-nucleotide ribosomal RNA is filed under the name uncultured bacterium. RNAcentral describes it as "partial 16S ribosomal RNA". It matches the Rfam family "Bacterial small subunit ribosomal RNA", at positions 524 to 776 of the family's 1533-position model. The record is from RNAcentral.
UACGAAGGGGGCUAGCGUUGCUCGGAAUCACUGGGCGUAAAGCGCACGUAGGCGGCUUUGUAAGUUAGAGGUGAAAGCCCAGGGCUUAACCCUGGAAUUGCCUUUAAGACUGCAUCGCUAGAAUCGUGGAGAGGUGAGUGGAAUUCCGAGUGUAGAGGUGAAAUUCGUAGAUAUUCGGAAGAACACCAGUGGCGAAGGCGACUCACUGGACACGUAUUGACGCUGAGGUGCGAAAGCGUGGGGAGCAAACAGG